Molecule: ribosomal RNA, 566 nt
Filed under: uncultured Glomeromycotina
Lineage: Eukaryota; Fungi; Glomeromycota
Description: SSU rRNA
Rfam family: Eukaryotic small subunit ribosomal RNA
Source: RNAcentral
UUGGGAGGGCAAGUCUGGUGCCAGCAGCCGCGGUAAAUCCAGCUCCAAUAGCGUAUAUUAAAGUUGUUGCAGUUAAAAAGCUCGUAGUUGAAUUUCGGGGUUAGUAGGUUGGUCAUGCCACUGGUAUGUACUGGUCUCACUGAUUCCUCCUUCCUGAUGAGCCGUAAUGCCAUUAAUUUGGUGUUGCGAGGAAUCUGGACUGUUACUUUGAAAAAAUUAGAGUGUUUAAAGCAAGCUAACGCUUGAAUACAUUAGCAUGGAAUAAUGAAAUAGGACGUUCGAUCCUAUUUUGUUAGUUUCUAGGAUUGACGUAAUGAUUAAUAGGGAUAGUUGGGGGCAUUAGUAUUCAAUUGUCAGAGGUGAAAUUCUUGGAUUUAUUGAAGACUAACUACUGCGAAAGCAUUUGCCAAGGAUGUUUUCAUUAAUCAAGAACGAAAGUUAGGGGAUCGAAGACGAUCAGAUACCGUCGUAGUCUUAACCAUAAACUAUGCCGACUAGGAAUCAGACGAUGUUAAUUUUUUAAUGACUCGUUUGGCACCUUACGGGAAACCAAAGUGUUUGGGUUC